AUAAAUAUCUCAUUUCGCUAGUAGUGUAUGGGCAAAUUCUACUAGCUAUUCUCAUAAAUAUGUCACUUAUAUGCCAUAUCUAUACAAUUCAUGCACUUUUAUAUGUAUAUUUGCUAUAUUAUACAUUAUUAUGCCUUAUAGGUAUUAUACCUAUAAGCCACAUCCAUACGAUUGCUUAAUAUAAAUAUAUGUAUAAUUUUUUAUACAUAUUUUUUUUUUUAUUUAUGUAUGGUUUUUUUAUUCAUAUCCAUAUACUGUAUUCACUUUUAUAUGGAUAUGAUUGGCGUUUUAUAUAGUAUUGACAAAAUCAUAAGUUUGACCAAUACGAGGAGAGGUCCGCCAACGACCACCUCCCUAUAGGUGUUUUUGGACACGCUGUCUCCCAUUCGACUGCUUACUAUACUAGGGGCUACCCGCUCCGUAUGAUAUUCUCUCAUAUAACAAGAGAAUGCAAGAAAUAUUCGUAUUUUAUGAAUAUAAUCCAUUUAUUUUUCAAUAUCCAUACGUUUUACUUAGUUUUUUGUACGGUAUUGACAAAAUCCUAUGCAUUUGCAUAAGAUUUAUUUUGCCACAAUUUAUAGUACUACUGCCGCCCUCACUAGGU
This is a long non-coding RNA of Drosophila biarmipes, 604 nucleotides long. RefSeq lists it as uncharacterized. Lineage: Eukaryota; Metazoa; Arthropoda; Insecta; Diptera; Drosophilidae. The record is from RefSeq and is a predicted model, not a curated record. The transcript is spliced from 3 exons.